RNAcentral lists this long non-coding RNA (1899 nucleotides) under Marmota monax (woodchuck). Lineage: Eukaryota; Metazoa; Chordata; Mammalia; Rodentia; Sciuridae. The record is from RNAcentral.
UGCUGGUGAAAAAGCAUCAUCUCAUGAUUUUUGUCUUUCCUUCCUUCCAACUGAAAAUUUAAUCAUGAUACUGAAAAAAGGAAGGCAUGGAGAGAAGGAAGGGAGUUACAAAAGCAAGAACACAUAUCACACACUACAGUGCUGCUAUUUGAAAAGAGUCACAUAGAUUUGUGCAUCAGAUAGCCCUGAAGAUGACAGUGGCCUUGUCCAAAUCAGUGUAUUGCAUUCCUAAACUACAUUUCAGAUAGAAGAAUGACCUGGCUGACAUCAAUGUCCUGCAAAAGGUGCCAGAUAGCUGACCCUAGCCAGAGCUGAACUGGAGAUGCUGACUGAGAACCUGACGGAAGACUUGGCCUAUCUGAAGUAGAAUCAAUCAUGAGGAGGCCAAAAUUUAAUUUUUUUCCUCCCAGACCUCAAAAUUAAAACAUCAGGUUUGCAAAUCUGGAGAUAAAACACGACCUGUGUAAGUGGCCAUUUGUUUUGGAUGUGCCCGUGCAUGUAUAUUGCUGCUACUGCUGUUUUUAAUGGUUCUUACUAAGGUUUAAUUAAUCAGAGACACAUUCUGAUUUUGUCAUUUUCAUUAUAGGUAAUAAAUUAGGUAAUAACAAUUUUAACUCUCUUGAUUUAGUGAUUUUGAAUAUAUAUAUAUAUAUAUAUAUAUAUAUAUAUAUAUAUAUAAUUUCAAAAGUUAGAAAAUAAAGAAGUCUACCAAUAACAUAAAAUGCUAUCCGUGCCACACAUGGCACUCUGAUGGACCACAGUGUAUACCAGUGACUGGUGUAGAGAAUAGACACUGGCAGUAAGUUUUUACACAAUUUUCAGUGAUUCUACCAAUUCUGCAGGAUUAGACACUUCUUGCAGCUCUUGACUUAACAGCUGUAGAUGAAAUCUCUCUAGCAACUUGCAUACCAAGCUUCCCUUUCCUGUACAGACAGGACAGUGGAUUCUCUAGAAGGAGGGUUAACCAAUCCUUCUGGCCCUUAGACACAGCAUAUAGAGUCCAUGGUCACUUAAAUAUCCUGUGAAAAUAUCUUUAGUAGUUAUUUUGUUGUUGUUGUUGUUGUUUGAUUUAGUGUGCCCAAGAACAUUUACUUUUAUUUGUUUUAAUUAGUUAUAUGUGAAAGUGGAAUUCAUCUUGACACAUCAUACAUAAAUGAAGUACAAAUUCUCAUUCUUCUGGUUGCACAUGAUAUAGAGUUAUUCUGGUCAUGUAAUUAUAUUGUAAUGGGCCAGGCUAUAUGGAUAAUAACCAAUCAGACUCCAUUUUGCCCUGAGACUCCACAUCAUGUAAGAAAUGCUUCUCCCAGGGAAAUCUCCACCUCUACCCAUCAACAGUUGCUUAGCAUAGCAUGUUUGGCAACACAAAAUGUCAAUUCUUAUACAAUGUAAAAGUGUUUUCUUUGUGGUUCCCAUUUUUCUUGGACAGUGUGUUCUGUCAAAGAUUGAUUAUCUAGAUAUUAGUAACCAUUCUUUACCAUGUACAUGACAUUUUUGUCCAUGCUGGGUGAACAAACAACAACAAGAAGUAGUAAUAUUGUCUUUAAAGUUACCAAUGCAGUUUCAUUUCUAGGUCAUCAAACAGUUGUUGAAAAAAUGUGAAUGUCUAUAAAAUGUCUACUAUCCAUUGUUUCUAGGAUUUUUCCUCAAUUGAAAAAAAAAACUGAUACUGUUCAGUGCACUUCUCUGAUAUCUUUGAUUUUAAAAAUAAGUAAAUUUUAUUUAACAUAUAUAGAAUUAAUUUUAAAUAAGUUUGUUAGAGACAUCUAAUUGGCUUACAAAGUUAAAAUGUUAACUGCUAAAUAUAACAUCAAGUACUCUUGACUCCUAAAUUUUAUAGGGAAACAUACUUAAACAUUAAAUGUGUUUUCCUAAAUUGAUAAAUAAAAGAAUUUAAAAUUA